RNAcentral lists this ribosomal RNA (468 nucleotides) under uncultured bacterium. RNAcentral describes it as "partial 16S ribosomal RNA". It matches the Rfam family "Bacterial small subunit ribosomal RNA", at positions 28 to 507 of the family's 1533-position model. The record is from RNAcentral.
GACGAACGCUGGCGGCGUGCUUAACACAUGCAAGUCGAACGGAAAGGCCCUGCUUUUGUGGGGUGCUCGAGUGGCGAACGGGUGAGUAACACGUGAGUAACCUGCCCUUGACUUUGGGAUAACUUCAGGAAACUGGGGCUAAUACCGGAUAGGAGCUCCUGCUGCAUGGUGGGGGUUGGAAAGUUUCGGCGGUUGGGGAUGGACUCGCGGCUUAUCAGCUUGUUGGUGGGGUAGUGGCUUACCAAGGCUUUGACGGGUAGCCGGCCUGAGAGGGUGACCGGGCAGAUGGGGACAGAGAUACGGACCAGACUGCUACGGGAGGAAGCAGGGGGGAAUAUGGCACAAUGGGCGGAAGCCUGAAGCAGCAACGCCGCGUGCGGGAUGACGGCCUGCGGGGUGUAAAAAAAGUUCGCCUGUGACAAAGCGUGAGUGACGGUAAUGAGUAAAGAAGAACCGGCUAACUACGUG